UUUCACUUCAUUAUAAAACCUUAAUUCUUCAUUUUUGAAAUUAACAUCUUCGUCUUCUUCACCUUUCCAUAGUCUUCAAUCCAGUUAAAUAAUGUGGCUACUGCACUUCAAGAGUGAUUGGCAUAAACAUAAUUUAAGGAAAAAACGAGACAACUCUCUCUACUUACUGCAGAAGAAUACUCAUAUUGAUAUGGAACUUGGUGACUAAAGGACCGAUUGAAGGAAAACUCAUCUUGAGAUGACAUCAAAUUCUCGAGAUAUUGUAGAAAUUGUCGAUUAAUGGAGUAAUUCUAAGGCAUAUUUUAGUUUACUUUUGCAAAUCUUGUAGCUUAUGAAAAUAUUUUUAUUUUUAGAUUAAGGGAAAUAUCUUUUAUGUCGAAAAUUGUCAUGGAACAAGUUUCUUUUGCCUUUAAUUACUUUAGUUCUAUUUUUAUUUUCCAAUUCUAGU
RNAcentral lists this long non-coding RNA (448 nucleotides) under Olea europaea (common olive). Its description in RNAcentral is "long non-coding RNA (OEUR_LNC010843)". Lineage: Eukaryota; Viridiplantae; Streptophyta; Magnoliopsida; Lamiales; Oleaceae. The record is from RNAcentral.